CCUACGGGCGGCAGCAGUGGGGGAUAUUGCACAAUGGGGGAAACUCUGAUGCAGUGACGCCGCGUGAGUGAAGAAGUAAUUCGUUAUGUAAAGCUCUAUUAGCAGGGAAGAAACAGACGGUACCUGAGUAAGAAGCCACGUCUAACUACGUGCCAGCAGCCGCGGUAAUACGUAGGGGGCAAGCGUUAUCCGGAUUUACUGGGUGUAAAGGGAGCGUAGAGGGCGAAAAAAGUCUGAAGUGAAAGCCCGAGGCUGAACCUCGGAACUGACUUGGAAACUUUUUUGCUGGAGUACCGGUGAGGUAAGCGGAAUGCCUAGUGUAGCGGUGAAAUGCGUAGAGAUUAGGAGGAACACCAGUGGCGAAGGCGGCUUAC
Molecule: ribosomal RNA, 374 nt
Filed under: uncultured bacterium
Lineage: Bacteria
Description: partial 16S ribosomal RNA
Rfam family: Bacterial small subunit ribosomal RNA
Source: RNAcentral